Molecule: long non-coding RNA, 1352 nt
Filed under: Pan troglodytes (chimpanzee)
Lineage: Eukaryota; Metazoa; Chordata; Mammalia; Primates; Hominidae
Description: long non-coding RNA NONPTRT013329
Source: RNAcentral
CGGUCCAUGGCCUGUUAGCAGCCAGGCCGCACAGCAGGAGGUGAGUGGCAGGCCAGCAAGCAUAACCGCCUGAGCUCCGCCUCCUGCGAGAUCCACAGCAGCAUGAGAUUCUCACAGGAGCUCAAACCCUGUUGUGAACGGCACAUGUGAGGGAUCUAGGCUCCUUAUGAGAAUCUAAUGCCUGAUGAUCUGUCACUGUCUCCCAUCACCCUCAGAUGGGACUGUCUAGUUGCAGGAAAACAAGCUCAGAGCUCCCACUGAUUCUACAUUAUGGAUGCAAAGAAGAUGCUGCUCUCCAUGCUCUGCAGGUGAGGACCCCCAGGCUCAGAAUUUGACUUGAACUCAGGCUGUAAAAAUCGCCUAGACUCUGGACUGCUUCUCAUGCUGGUGACUGCAUCCGAGCUUUUCCAUCACUGCUCUGCGUUUUCUCUAAAAUCCAGUCCAUGUACUCAGCGACUUUGGUGUAGACACCAGGUUGCUCCCUGCGGGCACAGCCUUCACCCCAGCUGGUGAUGCCCACCAAACGCCACAUUCCGUUGUGUUUGCAAACUAAGGGACCACCUGAAUCUCCCUGAGCCACAGUGGAAAAAUAAAAUAGUAGAAAGUUACGACAAUGGGAUUCAAAUAAGUGACUGCCUCUAAAGUUCUGUAGUCCACCACACAGCGACACACACACACAGAUUCUUUCGUAUUUUUUUGUAGAGAUGGGUUUCAUCACAUUGCCCAGACUGGUCUCAAAUUCCUAGGCUCAAGUGAUCCACCUGCAUUGGCCUCCCAAAGUGCUGUGUGUGUGCAAGACCUUGCUUGCCAGACACACACACGCACACACACUCACUCUUUCUUAAAGUUCUCCAAGUAUCUCAUGUGCCUGCAUUUUUCGUAUCCCCUUUUCUAUCUGAAAUAAAUCUAACAAAGAAAUCUUGAUAUCAUCAUCCCAAUGACAAAGAAGUCUAAUGUUUUUAUAUUCUAGCACAAUUAUUGCAUGUAUAUUUGCCCCUCUUAAAUAGCACAUGCAUAGAUUGUGACAUAUAUCAUAAAUAAUAUAAAUAUGUAUUAUGUAUAUUCAAUUUGUUAAAAGUUGCUUAUCAAUUUAUCAGAUCAUUUGUCUCUGAAUUUUUAAAAAAACUAUGAUAAAUUAUGCUAUUGGAAAAUAUAUUUUGAAAUGAAUUUUCUCAAGCAGCCUAUUGUGUUUUUCAUAAUCUCAUGAGUUACCUUACAAGCAUCUUUUCCCCCUUCUUUAUAGCCAGCACAGACCAUCCGUUGGGUUAUUUUAUAAUCUUGAUAUCUUUUCUGGCAUUCUUCAUUUGUUACCAAAGGAAUAUUUACCUUUUGUAGAAUAUUUUGGAUUUCAC